This 253-nucleotide ribosomal RNA is filed under the name uncultured bacterium. RNAcentral's name for it is "partial 16S ribosomal RNA". It matches the Rfam family "Bacterial small subunit ribosomal RNA", at positions 524 to 776 of the family's 1533-position model. The record is from RNAcentral.
UACGGAGGGGGCUAGCGUUGUUCGGAUUCACUGGGCGUAAAGGGUGCGUAGGCGGCAGGGGAAGUUUGAUGUGAAAGCUCCGAGCUCAACUCGGAAAUGGCAUUGAAUACUAUCCUGCUUGAGGGGUGGAGGGGGGACUGGAAUUCUCGGUGUAGCAGUGAAAUGCGUAGAUAUCGGGAGGAACACCAGUGGCGAAGGCGAGUCCCUGGACAACACCUGACACUGCGGCACGAAAGCGAGGGGAGCAAACAGG